GCACUGCUGAGGAGUCCCAUAAUAGGACGAAACAGCCGUCGAGUGC
Molecule: non-coding RNA, 46 nt
Filed under: Schistosoma mansoni
Lineage: Eukaryota; Metazoa; Platyhelminthes; Trematoda; Strigeidida; Schistosomatidae
Source: RNAcentral